This 543-nucleotide ribosomal RNA is filed under the name uncultured bacterium. RNAcentral describes it as "bacterial SSU rRNA". It matches the Rfam family "Bacterial small subunit ribosomal RNA", at positions 777 to 1320 of the family's 1533-position model. The record is from RNAcentral.
AAUAGAUACCCUGGUAGUCCACCCCGUAAACGUUGGGAACUAGUUGUGGGGUCCUUUCCACGGAUUCCGUGACGCAGCUAACGCAUUAAGUUCCCCGCCUGGGGAGUACGGCCGCAAGGCUAAAACUCAAAGGAAUUGACGGGGACCCGCACAAGCGGCGGAGCAUGCGGAUUAAUUCGAUGCAACGCGAAGAACCUUACCAAGGCUUGACAUACACCGGAAACGGCCAGAGAUGGUCGCCCCGCAAGGUCGGUGUACAGGUGGUGCAUGGUUGUCGUCAGCUCGUGUCGUGAGAUGUUGGGUUAAGUCCCGCAACGAGCGCAACCCUCGUUCUAUGUUGCCAGCACGUUAUGGUGGGAACUCAUGGGAUACUGCCGGGGUCAACUCGGAGGAAGGUGGGGAUGACGUCAAAUCAUCAUGCCCCUUAUGUCUUGGGCUUCACGCAUGCUACAAUGGCCGGUACAAAGGGCUGCAAUACCGUGAGGUGGAGCGAAUCCCAAAAAGCCGGUCCCAGUUCGGAUUGAGGUCUGCAACUCGACCUCA